UUCGCCGCCUCUGGCCUAAUGGAUGGCAUCGGUCUCCUAAACCGGUUGCGGGUUCAAACCCCGCCGAGGGAAA
Trichonephila inaurata madagascariensis is the source of this 73-nucleotide non-coding RNA. NCBI's taxonomy places the organism in Eukaryota, Metazoa, Arthropoda, Arachnida, Araneae, Nephilidae. The record is from the annotation of a GenBank genome assembly.